AGUGAACGCUGGCGGCAGGCCUAAUACAUGCAAGUCGAACGGCAGCACAGCAGAGCUUGCUCUGUGGGUGGCGAGUGGCGGACGGGUGAGGAAUACAUGGGAAUCUGCCCAGUCGUGGGGGAUAACGUAUGGAAACGUACGCUAAUACCGCAUGCGCCCUACGGGGAAGCCGGGACCGAAAGGCCUGGCGCGAUUGGAUGAGCCCAUGUUCGAUUAGCUAGUUGGCGGGGUAAAGGCCCACCAAGGCGACGAUCGAUAGCUGGUCUGAGAGGAUGAUCAGCCACACUGGAACUGAGACACGGUCCAGACUCCUACGGGAGGCAGCAGUGGGGAAUAUUGGACAAUGGGCGCAAGCCUGAUCCAGCCAUGCCGCGUGGGUGAAGAAGGCCU
This 390-nucleotide ribosomal RNA is filed under the name uncultured bacterium. RNAcentral describes it as "bacterial SSU rRNA". It matches the Rfam family "Bacterial small subunit ribosomal RNA", at positions 30 to 417 of the family's 1533-position model. The record is from RNAcentral.